GUUUAUUUCAAGAGAGUACUCCCCCAUACACAUAUUUCCACAGGUUAUAAACUGAAAAUGACGUCAGCGUUUUCUAAACGUUCUAUCUAUUUCACAAGUAGAGGGGCCCUCUAGCCUUCGCGUUAUCAGCACGAAGUCAAGGCCAGUCAGUAUAAAUCGACAUUCUAGACAGUCUGGAGAUGGGCCGUUCCCGCCACCUGGAGAUUUGUACACUGAAUGAACUAAGGAACAGACCUUCACUGUCACUAAACUCCUGACUACAUUAUAUACAAUUGGGAAUGGGAGCAAGAGAGAAAAUUCACAUGUACAGUACAUUAUAGCAUUUGGACUAGUCAGUUCUGAUUGGAAUGUGUACAUAAUUAGUCAUUUCAACCAUAAUUUCCUCUAACAAGAUUACAGCAUUAUAUCAGGCUAAUCAAGGUGUAGAUUACAGCAUUAUAUCAGGCUAAUCAAGGUGUAGAUUACAGCAUUAUAUCAGGCCAAUCAAGGUGUAGAUUACAGCAUUAUAUCAGGCUAAUCAAGGUGUAGAUUACAGCAUUAUAUCAGGCUAAUCUGGGUGUAGAUUACAGCAUUAUAUCAGGCUAAUCAAGGUGUAGAUUACAGCAUUAUAUCAGGCUAAUCAAGGUGUAGAUUAAUCAAGGUGUAGAUUACAGCAUUAUAUCAGGCUAAUAAAGGUGUAGAUUACAGCAUUAUAUCAGGCUAAUCAAGGUGUAGAUUACAG
Long non-coding RNA from Oncorhynchus tshawytscha (Chinook salmon), 721 nucleotides. The record is from Ensembl. NCBI's taxonomy places the organism in Eukaryota, Metazoa, Chordata, Actinopteri, Salmoniformes, Salmonidae.